Musa acuminata AAA Group (dessert banana) is the source of this 2146-nucleotide long non-coding RNA. RefSeq lists it as uncharacterized. NCBI's taxonomy places the organism in Eukaryota, Viridiplantae, Streptophyta, Magnoliopsida, Zingiberales, Musaceae. The transcript is spliced from 9 exons. The record is from RefSeq and is a predicted model, not a curated record.
GCGCAAUUAAAAUAUAAUAAUGACGUCUCAAAAAACCCUAUUUAUCAUUGUAGAUUUUCGUAUGGCAUACAAAUAAUUAUAAUUAAUAUAUAUAUAUAUAUAAAAGAAAAUGUCUCUAAUAUUUCUUCUCUCAGACUAAGGAAGAAAAAAAAAAGAAAUUAUAAUUAUGUUCUAUCCUCUACUGUCAUUGCUUAGGUUAUUUGCUCUUUCUCACAGACAUGUAUAGCUAAUUAAUCUUUUUAGUUAUGCUUAGUGUGAUGAAUGGAUGUAUUCUUAGAUAGCAGGAAUCUUCUGUGCCUACGUGCUUCGGUCUUGAGCAUGUCAUGUAAUCCUCCACUUCAAGUUUCGAAUCGACUGUUCUGUGGAAGGAGCUAAAUGACUGAGAUAUGGUGUAGGCUUGUGGAAUAUGUUCUCUAGGUUGACAUUUAAGCUUGUUAGUUUCUGCUUUGACAGAUUAGUGGAGGUCUUGGAAGCGUGUUGCGAGUGAACAUGAGCAUGGAGAUCAGCAAGGUUAUGGAGUAUGAGGCAACUGCCAAGCAGAAGUUGCCUAAGAUGGUCUUUUGAUUGCUAUGCCUCGGGCGCAGAGGGCCAAUGGACUUUGAAGGAGAACAGGGCGGCCUUUUCAAUGAUUCUGUUUCGCCGUUGCAUACUCAUUGAUGUCUCCAAGGUUGAUAUGACCACAACUGUACUAGGUUUUAAGAUAUUGACCAUGAUUGCUCCAACAGCAAUGUAGAAGAUGGCCCAUCCCGAUGAUUGAUUAUUAUUUAAGAAAAUUAAAGGAGGAAGUCAUUUACAGGACGAAGUGCAAUGCCUUAACUGUAUCAUAUACAAAAAUGGUGUCUGAGUCCCUGAUUUGGUGGGGCAAUCUACCAAGCAGCAUGGAUUAAUCAAGAGAACUGAAUAGAGAAGCACAAAUUUGUUAGAUUUGCUUCAUUGUGCACUUGAGACUUCCACUUGCCAAAGUAAUGCUCAGAUCAUGUAGCUGAUUCCCUUCAGCUCUUUGCUAACUGCAAAUAUGCUAUCCUGAAGAUUAAUGCUAUGUACCCGAGUGUUCACCUUAUUGACAUAUAUCAAACACUGUCAUCAUGGGCAACUUCCAGAAUCGAAGAGGUUGCUUCUACAGGACCAGGAAUUUGAUUCUUCCAGCUCUAUGUGUAUAAGGAUAGGCACAUAGUUGCACAGCUUGUCCAAAGAGCUGAAAGAGCAGGAUUCAAGGCAAUACCACUUACGGUCGACACUCCAAGACAUGGCCGGAGAUAAGCAGACAUCAAGAACAAAUUCACUUUGCCACCAUUUUUGACACUCAAAAAACUUUGAGGGUUUGGACCUUGGAAAGAUGGACAAGACCGAUGACUCUGGCCUUCCUCAUAUGUAGCGGGUCAAAUUGAUCGAUCAUUAAGCUGGAAGCGAGACUUGCCAUUCAAGCGGGUGCAGCUGGUAUCACUGUCUCCAACCAUGGAGCUCGUCAGCUUGAUUACGUUCCAGCUACUAUCAGUGCACUGGAAGAGGUUGUCAAAGCCGCACAGGGCCGUGUUCCUGUCUUUCUUGACGGUGGCGCUCGCAGAGGAACUGAUGUGUUCAAGGCUUUAGCUUUGGGAGCCUCUGGUGUCUUUGUGAGCAAACAUGGCAAAGAAAGAUUCAUCGCUUCUCCCACAUUCCAAGAUUCCACAUGAAACAAGAAAGUUACCUGUGAAUUCUGGUCGAUUGCAGAUCGGAAGGCCUGUGGCGUUUGCUUUGGCUGCUGAAGGUGAAGCUGGAGUGAGGAAGGUGCUGCAGACUCUGAGAGACGAGUUUGAGCUGACAAUGGCAUCGAGUGGGUGCACUUCACCGAGAGAGAUCACCCGAAGUCACAUAGUGACUGAGGCAGACAGCCAUCUCCUUGCAUGCCUCGAGGUUAUGAUGCUCCUGAGGUGAUUGCCGGCCUCGUUCAACAAGAACAGAUCUGCAUCAAUAUCUCUUGAUGUUGGACUCUCUUCUAAUCGUGGCAAUGUAAUCUAAUUUUGUAUGUAUAUUCUUUUAGCAUAUUUGGUCACCAAUCUGAUUCAAGAAUUGCCAGAUGAAUUAUAUAUGCCAAACAAGAGAUUCUCUGUCAUGAUGAAUCAAUCUUAAAGAAUGAUAAAGCCAAUUUAUCAUGGUCUUAGGAACA